RNAcentral lists this ribosomal RNA (253 nucleotides) under uncultured bacterium. Its description in RNAcentral is "partial 16S ribosomal RNA". It matches the Rfam family "Bacterial small subunit ribosomal RNA", at positions 524 to 776 of the family's 1533-position model. The record is from RNAcentral.
UACGUAGGGUGCAAGCGUUGUCCGGAAUUAUUGGGCGUAAAGAGCUCGUAGGCGGUUUGUUGCGUCGGCUGUGAAAUCCCGAGGCUCAACCUCGGGUCUGCAGUCGAUACGAGCAAACUAGAGUGUUGCAGGGGAGACUGGAAUUCCUGGUGUAGCGGUGAAAUGCGCAGAUAUCAGGAGGAACACCGGUGGCGAAGGCGGCAUUCUGGACCAAUACUGACGCUGAGGAGCGAAAGCCAGGGGAGCAAACGGG